GACGAACGCUGGCGGCGUGCUUAACACAUGCAAGUCGAACGGAAAGGCCCUGCUUUUGUGGGGUGCUCGAGUGGCGAACGGGUGAGUAACACGUGAGUAACCUGCCCUUGACUUUGGGAUAACUUCAGGAAACGGUGGCUAAUACCGGAUAGGAGCUCCUGCUGCAUGGUGGGGGGUGGAAAGUUUCGGCGGUUGGGGAUGGACUCGCGGCUUAUCAGCUUGUUGGUGGGGUAGUGGCUUACCAAGGCUUUGACGGGUAGCCGGCCUGAGAGGGUGACCGGCCACAUUGGGACUGAGAUACGGCCCAGACUCCUACGGGAGGCAGCAGUGGGGAAUAUUGCACAAUGGGCGGAAGCCUGAUGCAGCAACGCCGCGUGCGGGAUGACGGCCUUCGGGUUGUAAACCGCUUUCGCCUGUGACGAAGCGUGAGUGACGGUAAUGGGUAAAGAAGCACCGGCUAACUACGUG
This 468-nucleotide ribosomal RNA is filed under the name uncultured bacterium. RNAcentral's name for it is "partial 16S ribosomal RNA". It matches the Rfam family "Bacterial small subunit ribosomal RNA", at positions 28 to 507 of the family's 1533-position model. The record is from RNAcentral.